This 348-nucleotide long non-coding RNA is filed under the name Medicago truncatula (barrel medic). RNAcentral's name for it is "long non-coding RNA (MTRU_LNC005037)". The record is from RNAcentral. Lineage: Eukaryota; Viridiplantae; Streptophyta; Magnoliopsida; Fabales; Fabaceae.
CAAGACUUCUUCCUCCUCAUGAGACAACAACAACUUCAUCUUCUUCCUCUCUCUCUCGCGCGCUCUUCUCUCUCUCUCUCUCUCUCUCUCUCUCUCUCUCUCUCUCUCCUCUGUGUUCAGUGCUUCUUCUUCGUCCUCCUCUCUCACCUUGAAAUCAAAACGAAACAAUAAGAAUUGAAACAUUUUUGAAAAGAUUAACGCGGAAGAGAAAAACCUUCAUCACUAAAAUUCCUUGUUCAUUGAUGUUGCAAAGACACAAAAUCUGAAACCCUAUUCCUUUUUCACUCAAAUCGCAAAAGCCUUGGACAUGUUCGUUCUUGUUCUCUCACGACUCAAAAUCGCAAAAAC